This 497-nucleotide ribosomal RNA is filed under the name uncultured bacterium. RNAcentral's name for it is "partial 16S ribosomal RNA". It matches the Rfam family "Bacterial small subunit ribosomal RNA", at positions 28 to 507 of the family's 1533-position model. The record is from RNAcentral.
GAUGAACGCUGGCGGCGUGCCUAAUACAUGCAAGUAGAACGCUGAAGGAAGGAGCUUGCUCUUUCCGGAUGAGUUGCGAACGGGUGAGUAACGCGUAGGUAACCUGUCUGGUAGCGGGGGAUAACUAUUGGAAACGAUAGCUAAUACCGCAUAACAGUAGAUGUUGCAUGAUAUCUACUUAAAAGGUGCAAUUGCACCACUACCAGAUGGACCUGCGUUGUAUUAGCUAGUUGGUGAGGUAACGGCUCACCAAGGCGACGAUACAUAGCCGACCUGAGAGGGUGAUCGGCCACACUGGGACUGAGACGCGGCCCAGACUCCUACGGGAGGCAGCAGUAGGGAAUCUUCGGCAAUGGACGGAAGUCUGACCGAGCAACGCCGCGUGAGUGAAGAAGGUUUUCGGAUCGUAAAGCUCUGUUGUAAGAGAAGAACGAGUGUGAGAGUGGAAAGUUCACACUGUGACGGUAUCUUACCAGAAAGGGACGGCUAACUACGUG